AGGUUUUGGGCCACCUCUCUCAUCGAUGGCGACGAUGACCAGCGCGAUUCUUGUCCCUCCCGCGCGCUGCUGCUCCAGGUACUCCCCCCAAUCGAGUAGAUUACUCCCUCGCGACGCGAUUUGGAGCGUCAGCUCCCGGGAUUUCGCGCUGCGACGGGAUGUCUCGGCUCGGGCAUGGUGGUCUUCGAAGAAGAAGGAUCAAGAACAGGCGGAGGUGACCGCUGCUACCUCAGAGACGGAGGUUUCGAAAGGAAGUGGGAGGAAGAAUGCUGGGAAGAAUGCGGUGGCAGCAGCGCCGGUUGUGAAAGAAGAGGUGGAAGAGGUGGAGAUGAGCUGGGUGGAGGAGAAGACCGGGGAGCUUGUCCAGAUGACCGGGAAUGCCAUUCAAGCGAUUCCAGGGCCCAGGGUGGGACAGAGCUCCGUUCCAUGGCUGCUGGUUUUGCCCGUGGCGUAUUUCAGCGUGACUUUCGUGAUCGCUGUGUACAGGACUGUGAAGAAGUAUAGCUCUCCAAAGGCGAAGAAGAGAAGGAUGAUUGGAAAGAAUGCCUUUUUGGUGACUUCCUUGGACAAGUAUUUUCCACAGCGCCGUGAAGAAUUUGACAGCAAAGUGCUCAAAGAGCUGGAAAGGAAGUGCUCUUUUGACUCAAAAGAAGUGCUCCGGAAGUAUAUUCGAUACGCCAUGAACGAGCGAGCUUUCACGCCGGAGACUGUCGCAGAUCUUAUCCAUCUCCGAAGGAUCACCAAGCUGACCGACAAUGAGAUUGCCGACGUCUUGAACGAAACCUCGAGGCGCGUGGUGAAUGAGAAUGGAACCGUGAUGAUGGAUUUACGGGGACUCACGGAGAGGGGUGUCAAGCGGAAGGCUGCUGUUCGUUCUCUCUUUAGCAAGCUCCUAUACUUAUCUGAGUUGGACGAGUUCUGUUCGACGUCAAGAGACGCUCUGAAAAUCAAAGAGCUUUUUGGAGUCACAGACGAGGAUGCAAACAGCCUGCGCAUUGAGACCCUGACCCAGCUUUCGGAUAUUGAUUCACUAGACAAGAUGGUGAAUCCAGAAGACACGGCUAUGGAUGAAGGCACACCAGAUUCAAAGGCGUCGUGACCCAUGCCUUCUCGGGGUAACUUUCCACAGUUUUGGUAGCAAUCAUGUAUCCGGGAAUCUCGUCUUUUCCGUGUAGUAUACUGUAAGUGUGAUUUGAGUUUCAGGUCGUGCGCUUGGACUUUUUUCGUUCUGACCAUAUGAAUUAUUUGUAAACGCUGUGCCAAUGUUUCAGGCUCGCGAUAUCCUUCAAAAGUUCAAGAGAACAUUUUCGAGCUUGCGAAGCCAUCAACGAUUUCAAGCCCGCAAAGAAACCAUCGCUUGUUUUCUCGAUUGCUCUAGCAGCUCCAUUGUAGCGCAUGAGUGAUGCGAGAGAUGGUGUCACUUAUUGAAAGCUCUUGGGCUCCAAAUCACCUGGAGACAUCAACUUUGGAAUCAAAGUUCGAAAGUGAUGGAGAAAAUAUUCAUUCCACCGAACCGGAAGAUUUUGAAGGACAUUUUUCACCAACCUUGGUGUUGAUCCUUUGAUAAAAAUCGAAUCUUCUUCUGGUCAAAAAGUACGUACGUAAGCAAGCACCAAGAUCUUUCGCUCUAUAGGAAGAUCAGGGCGAGUCCCAACUGGACAGUAUGGGAACUUCUUAUCCUUAUCCUCCUCAAGGCUAUCCUCCUCCAGUGGCGCCCCCGCCGCAAUACUAUUACCAGGGGCCUUCUCACCGCGAGAAAGGAUUUGCAGAAGGAUGUUUAGCUGGUCUGUGCUGCUGCUGGCUGCUAGAGAUUUGUUGCUGCUGUGGCCCGCAUAUGUUUCUGGGCUGUUAGUAUCAGUACUUUCUUAGUCUAUGAUAAUCAUAUAUUGACACCAUGUAUCUAUCAGUGCCUGAAACAUUUGCAAUUAUAUGUGUUCUGA
This is an RNA transcript of Selaginella moellendorffii, 1940 nucleotides long. RefSeq lists it as uncharacterized. Lineage: Eukaryota; Viridiplantae; Streptophyta; Lycopodiopsida; Selaginellales; Selaginellaceae. The transcript has 9 exons. The record is from RefSeq and is a predicted model, not a curated record.